Molecule: ribosomal RNA, 481 nt
Filed under: uncultured bacterium
Lineage: Bacteria
Description: bacterial SSU rRNA
Rfam family: Bacterial small subunit ribosomal RNA
Source: RNAcentral
AGACGACGCUGGCGGCGUGCCUAACACAUGCAAGUCGAGCGAGGAGAUUCCUUCGGGUAUGAUCCUAGCGGCGGACGGGUGAGUAACGACGUGGGCAACCUGCCUCAUAGAGAGGAAUAGCCUUCCGAAAGGGAGACUUAAUACCUCAUAACAUUGCAGUUUCGCAUGGAACAGCAAUUAAAGGAGCAAUCCACUAUGAGAUGGGGCCCGCGGCGCAUUAGCUAGUUGGUGAGGUAAACGGCGUCACCCAAGGCGACGAUGCGUAGCCGACCUGAGAGGGUGAUCGGCCACAUUGGGACUGAGACACGGCCCAGACUCCUACGGGAGGCAGCAGUGGGGAAUAUUGCACAAUGGGGGAAACCCUGAUGCAGCCAACGCCGCGUGAGUGAUGACGGCCAUCGGGUUGUAAAGCUCUGUCUUCAGGGACGAUAAUGACGGUACCUGAGGAGGAAGCCACGGCUAACUACGUGCCAGCCGCUGC